Molecule: ribosomal RNA, 497 nt
Filed under: uncultured bacterium
Lineage: Bacteria
Description: partial 16S ribosomal RNA
Rfam family: Bacterial small subunit ribosomal RNA
Source: RNAcentral
GAUGAACGCUGGCGGCGUGCCUAAUACAUGCAAGUCGAACGAACAGACGAGGAGCUUGCUCCUCUGACGUUAGCGGCGGACGGGUGAGUAACACGUGGAUAACCUACCUAUAAGACUGGGAUAACUUCGGGAAACCGGAGCUAAUACCGGAUAAUAUAUUGAACCGCAUGGUUCAAUAGUGAAAGACGGUUUUGCUGUCACUUAUAGAUGGAUCCGCGCCGCAUUAGCUAGUUGGUAAGGUAACGGCUUACCAAGGCAACGAUGCGUAGCCGACCUGAGAGGGUGAUCGGCCACACUGGAACUGAGACACGGUCCAGACUCCUACGGGAGGCAGCAGUAGGGAAUCUUCCGCAAUGGGCGAAAGCCUGACGGAGCAACGCCGCGUGAGUGAUGAAGGUCUUCGGAUCGUAAAACUCUGUUAUUAGGGAAGAACAAAUGUGUAAGUAACUAUGCACGUCUUGACGGUACCUAAUCAGAAAGCCACGGCUAACUACGUG